RNAcentral lists this long non-coding RNA (1102 nucleotides) under Marmota monax (woodchuck). Lineage: Eukaryota; Metazoa; Chordata; Mammalia; Rodentia; Sciuridae. The record is from RNAcentral.
GCCGGCUGGCCCACGCCCGCAGCCGGUCUUUGCCAGCCCGAGCCCGGCUCAGUCCCCUGAACGGCCGCCGGCGCUAUCCGUCUGCCCCACAAGAGGUUAAUCUUUGUUGGCGUUGCAGCUUCUUUGUGGCUUCCCAGGACUUGGGAUCCUCGGCUUUGCAAACUUGCCCUUUCCUCGGCCGCUUUGCAGGAGGCUGCGGAGACGAAGAUGAGCGGAAAGUUGGAAACCAGCAAGCAUCACAGGACCGUGUCUUUGGCCUCCUAGCUGUGCAGAGCUCGCGAGGCGGAUGAGGAGGGCUGGUCGGGCUGGGGAGAAAACUUGACGGGGAAUCCAAGUUGUGAUUUGCUCAGGCUUCCACCUGAUUGAUCGGCUUCAAAACCAGUGGGGUCUCUGCCUUCCACUGUUCCACGAUGGCCUUUUGUUUGUCUGGGGCGUGGAGGAGGAGGAAGUGAAUAAUGACUUGCCCUGGACCCCUCCCCUUUUACAGAGUCGCUGCUCAGCUUGGGCGCCACGGACCACUGUCUUUUCAGACCCCCGAGUGCUUCCCCUACCUGCCCUCUGAGCAUCACUUUCUCUCUGGAAGUUAGCGGCUCCCUCAGAUCUGAAGGAGGCCCUGUUGGGCUGGAUUGGGGGGUCAAGAAUCCCUCCCCCUCAUCCCUGUGGUCACUCAGACCUCCCUCAAUUACCCUUUUACACACACACACACACACACACACACACAUUAGCCACUCCUUCCUGCAGAGCAGAAAUUAAUGCCUGCAGAAGUGAAGGAGGUGAGACUCUGAGAACUCCUCAAGAUCUGAGUCAAAAGGUGAUUUUCUAUUUAUGAGGCCACGGGUUUAAGCAGUUCAGUCCCAGGGCAGUAAUGUCAAAAAGCAUUUGGAUGACGACCAAGUGGAAUAAAUAUCUUGUAAAAUGGCAUGUUUAAUAGUAAAAAUAGAUUCAUGGAGCCUUCCAGUGGUAAAUGGGACUCACAUAAAGGUUUAAUUUACGUUUAAAAGGAAAGUUACAUAAGCCUGUAUACACAUUUUCUUUUAAGAAUAGAGAAAACCUAUGAGUAAGUUUGAGAUGUGUUCCUGACAAUAAUAACUGUGCCUGUGAU